Molecule: non-coding RNA, 246 nt
Organism: Ixodes scapularis (black-legged tick)
Lineage: Eukaryota; Metazoa; Arthropoda; Arachnida; Ixodida; Ixodidae
Source: Rfam
ACACACUCUGCAAUGGCCUCCGGUCGGUGUUGAUGCAAUGUGAUCUCUGCCCAGUGCUCUGAAUGUCAACGUGAGGAGAUUCAUCAAAGCGCGAAUAAACGGCGGGAGUAACUAUGACUCUCUUGGUGCCCCUUGUUUACGUACCGCCAUACCAGGUAUGGCACUGCAUAGAUUGUUGGCACUGGGCACGUCAUCGCAUCCUGCGUGCGCCGUGGCCCUUGCAGCUGCCGCACAUGGUCGACUUGA